AGAACCUUUAAGAGCAGUCCAGAGAGGCUGACAAGGUGGGCGAUACUUUGUUUGGAGAACGUAUUUAUACACAUAAUAUAUUAUUGUGUGAAUAAUACGGUUAUUUCUGACACCUUCCACUUGUCACUUUAUGGCAAGUGGUUUUUUUU
Bacillus sp. FJAT-27986 is the source of this 149-nucleotide regulatory RNA element. It matches the Rfam family "PyrR binding site". Rfam says of the family: This family represents the PyrR binding site and terminator structure. The record is from Rfam. Lineage: Bacteria; Bacillati; Bacillota; Bacilli; Caryophanales; Bacillaceae.